UCGGUUAAUUAUUUUAACAGAAAAAAAGCUCAAUUCAACUAACGGUUUAGUGCAAAAUGAACUGCUUAUUUCUCAAGUCAAAACCCGGCAUCCCUUUUGCUGCUUAUUUCUCAUCUUUUGCACCAGAUCUCACUGUUCUACCGUCCAUUCAUCAUAAUUCCACUUCCUUAAUACCCCUAAAACAAAUUAAAACCGUUAGUGCAAAAUGAACUGCAAGUAUCACAGUCUUCCUUUAGUAAAGAUAGUAAUAGAACAAUAUGAAGAAUAAAAAUAACCCAAGGCACGCACAAUAAAAAUGAAUCUUAAAACAGCUCGAUACGAGUGACUGGGAUAGCAAAUCCAUAUCGACAGUUAAAUGCAAAACCAUGAAGUCACAGGAACGGAAGAGAUCUCAACAAGUUCGCAUCAAAAAUAACAUUGAAAUGCUCUCUGAUAACCAACCAACGAACACCAAGCAUACUAAAAAAGAAAUUAUCUAGGACUAAAAAUAGCUACUGGAUGGGAAACAUUGUCCCAUGUCUAGAUAAGCCUUUUUGAAUCGUGUUCAUAUUAUUCAGGUUAAGAUACACAAUCAAGCAACAAUAAACAGAAGACAAUCUCAAUAAGAACAUGGAUGGGACAGUCCACCAUUCUUUGAAAAAGUAUAGUACUACCGGUUAACCAAGAAAAGUAUCCAAUUUUUGGUUUUCUUUUCCUUGUUUCAACUCCGAUCAGACUACUUUCAAACCAGAAUUUGAGAUAAAUACAGGGAACCACACAAGUAAAAGGAAGAAGUACGAAAAGUUACAAACAAGUUGCCUAACCAAGUCAACAGAAAAAUGUACACUUCAACAACAGACUUCUAUGCCAUUUGAAUAAUAGUCCAUAAACUCAACAGUCAAAAACACCAGAAACAAAAAUAAUUACACAAACCCGACAUGAAAGAUCUUCACAUUUUCAUUUAGAAACUCACAGUCUCACAAAUUCUAAGAAAGAAUAGAUCAAGAUUGCAAAGCAAAAGU
RNAcentral lists this long non-coding RNA (1001 nucleotides) under Gossypium raimondii (Peruvian cotton). RNAcentral's name for it is "long non-coding RNA (GRAI_LNC007931)". The record is from RNAcentral. Lineage: Eukaryota; Viridiplantae; Streptophyta; Magnoliopsida; Malvales; Malvaceae.